RNAcentral lists this ribosomal RNA (452 nucleotides) under uncultured bacterium. Its description in RNAcentral is "bacterial SSU rRNA". It matches the Rfam family "Bacterial small subunit ribosomal RNA", at positions 917 to 1382 of the family's 1533-position model. The record is from RNAcentral.
GGCCCCGCACAAGCAGCGGAGCGUGUGGUUUAAUUCGAUGAUACACGAAGAACCUUACCAGGGUUUGACAUGCUAGUGGUAGGGAUCCGAAAGGUGACCGACCCCUCGGGGAGCUAGCACAGGUGCUGCAUGGCUGUCGUCAGCUCGUGUCGUGAGAUGUUCGGUUAAGUCCGCUAACGAGCGCAACCCCUGCUGUGUGUUACAUGUGUCACACGGGACUGCCGGUCUUAAACCGGAGGAAGGUGGGGAUGACGUCAAGUCAGCAUGGCCUUUAUGUCCUGGGCUACACACACGCUACAAUGGCCGGUACAAUAGGUUGCGAAGCCGCGAGGCGGAGCCAAUCCUCAAAGCCGGCCUCAGUUCAGAUUGCAGGCUGCAACCCGCCUGCAUGAAGAUGGAGUUGCUAGUAACCGCAGGUCAGCUAUACUGCGGUGAAUACGUUCCCGGGGCUU